AUGGCAAGUCUUUUGCCUCGUUUCAAAAAAAUGCAACCAUUAUCCAUGCAGGACCAUCAAAUGGAACCAGCUCUCAUUGUAAGGUAUGAACAAAAUAUGUCAAAGCUUACUGAGUUUUACAGACAAAGGGCAAAGAAAAACUUUGCUUCUAAAGGAGACAAAAAUACUAAAAUUUUCCACCAUGCAUUGCUCAGAAGAAGAAAGAAGAAUACCCUUGUAUCCAUAAAAGAUGAGAAUGAGAAUAUUCAUUUUAACCCGCGGGCCAUUGCAAAUACAUUUGUAAAUUAUUUUCGGUAUAUAUUUGCUUCUCCUAAUGUGAAUGUAGGCAGGCCUUUUCUAGAUUCCAGCCCUCCAAUUGAUAGCCAAGACUACACCUGCAGUAUCCCGAACAAGGAGGAAAUUCUAAACACUUUAAAGGACAUGAAGCUAAAUGCCUCUCCUAGACCUGAUGGGUUCAAUGUUGAGUUCUACAUUGCCACUUGGAGCUGGAUUGGUGAUGAUGUCGCUGCUAUGGUGAAAAACUUCUACCAAACAGAAAAGGAAUACCAAACAGAGUCCAAAUGGAAUAAAACCUUCGCGGUGAUUUUUCUUGGACCAGAAGACACCCCGGAGACUUGGAGUUCAAGUCAGAAGAGCCACGAGGCGGCGACAAGGGGGUAG
RNAcentral lists this ribosomal RNA (660 nucleotides) under Triticum aestivum (bread wheat). Its description in RNAcentral is "partial small subunit ribosomal RNA". Lineage: Eukaryota; Viridiplantae; Streptophyta; Magnoliopsida; Poales; Poaceae. The record is from RNAcentral.